RNAcentral lists this ribosomal RNA (305 nucleotides) under uncultured bacterium. RNAcentral's name for it is "bacterial SSU rRNA". It matches the Rfam family "Bacterial small subunit ribosomal RNA", at positions 335 to 658 of the family's 1533-position model. The record is from RNAcentral.
AGCCUACGGGGGGCAGCAGUGGGGAAUAUUGCACAAUGGGGGAAACCCUGAUGCAGCGACGCCGCGUGAGUGAGGAAGUAUUUCGGUAUGUAAAGCUCUAUCAGCAGGGAAGAAAAUGACGGUACCUGACCAAGAAGCCCCGGCUAACUACGUGCCAGCAGCCGCGGUAAUACGUAGGGGGCAAGCGUUAUCCGGAUUUACUGGGUGUAAAGGGAGCGUAGGUGGCAGGGCAAGUCAGAUGUGAAAACUCGGGGCUCAACUCCGGGAGUGCAUUUGAAACUGUCCAGCUAGAGUGCAGGAGAGGG